GACGAACGCUGGCGGCGUGCUUAACACAUGCAAGUCGAACGGUGAAGCGCCUUCCUUUUUGGUGGGUGUGGAUGAGUGGCGAACGGGUGAGUAACACGUGAGUAACCUGCCCCCUUCUUCUGGAUAACCGCAUGAAAGUGUGGCUAAUACGGGAUAUUCUGGGUCUGUCGCAUGAUGGGUCUGGGAAAGAUAUUGUUUCGGUGGGGGAUGGGCUCGCGGCCUAUCAGCUUGUUGGUGGGGUGAUGGCCUACCAAGGCGGUGACGGGUAGCCGGCCUGAGAGGGUGGACGGUCACACGGGGACUGAGACACGGCCCAGACUCCUACGGGAGGCAGCAGUGGGGAAUAUUGCACAAUGGGCGAAAGCCUGAUGCAGCGACGCCGCGUGAGGGAUGGAGGCCUUCGGGUUGUGAACCUCUUUCGCCAGUGAAGCAGGCCUGCCUCGUUUGUGGGUGGGUUGACGGUAGCUGGAUAAGAAGCGCCGGCUAACUACGUG
This 494-nucleotide ribosomal RNA is filed under the name uncultured bacterium. Its description in RNAcentral is "partial 16S ribosomal RNA". It matches the Rfam family "Bacterial small subunit ribosomal RNA", at positions 28 to 507 of the family's 1533-position model. The record is from RNAcentral.